Gossypium arboreum is the source of this 790-nucleotide long non-coding RNA. RefSeq lists it as uncharacterized. The record is from RefSeq and is a predicted model, not a curated record. The transcript has 2 exons. Lineage: Eukaryota; Viridiplantae; Streptophyta; Magnoliopsida; Malvales; Malvaceae.
UAGGCGGAUUUUCGAGCCAGGCCGGGCUGGGCCACCCAGCUCAUGAUCAGCUCUAAUUCUGGUAGCACCAUUAGUCAGAAAAAUCACCAAGUAGUCCAUCUUUCCUUUCUCUUUCGAUUUAAAAAUUCAAAUAUUCUUGAAACCCGCAAGAAAACCACGAAAAUAUUGAGUCAGUUUCAAACUUAUCUGUCCCGAUCUACUACCUUCGUCGUUAGAUCGCCUAGGGUACUUGAUAUAUGGUUCUCCUUGACCGAAUAGAUCCUGUCACCGUUCAAAUUGUCUAAUGGAAUUCCAGAGCUUAAAACCCAAAUUCAAACAGAGAUAAGUCCCCUUCUCUUUAUUUUUUUUUUCAAUCUCUUUUCCUCCUUUUAUGAAUAUUGGUUUUUCUCUUCUUUGUUUGCAGGUUUGGAUUAGCUUCUUCAAAACAGUUCAAUGGCCAAUGAGGUGGAGGUGGAAGCAGUAAUGGUGACAGUGAAAGUUGGAUGAUGAAGGAGAUGUUGUGUGGGAGAUGGAGUAUUAGACAGUGAUGGGGGUUUUGAGUGGCUAAGGGUUGUGUCAAAUAUGGCAAUGAUGAUGAGGGAUUUAGAGUUGAGAGAAGGGGUAAGAAAGGGAGUAGUGUGAGCUUGUUGAUGGUGGUUUAGAGAGUGAAUGGCGGGAAAGGUAACAGUGAUGCAGAGAGAAAAAAUGAACUAAAAGAAAAAUAAAGAGAAAAAGAAGAAAUAAAAAUAGGAAAAGGAAUUAAAACAUAGACUUAAUGGUGGAAGAGAUGAUUUAACAGUAUAGUGAUUAA